UAAAAGGCCCUUCUAAGGGCCACCCACUAGAUCACAAUAAUAGCUGU
Erinaceus europaeus (western European hedgehog) is the source of this 47-nucleotide non-coding RNA. NCBI's taxonomy places the organism in Eukaryota, Metazoa, Chordata, Mammalia, Eulipotyphla, Erinaceidae. The record is from Rfam.